GGUUGGGUGUGUAAGCGCUGUGAGGCGUUGAGCUAACCAAUACUAAUUGCCCGUGAGGCUUGACCAUAUAACACCCAAGCAAUU
RNAcentral lists this ribosomal RNA (84 nucleotides) under Pseudomonas veronii. Its description in RNAcentral is "partial 23S ribosomal RNA". RNAcentral also lists the same sequence under 2 other names. The record is from RNAcentral. Lineage: Bacteria; Pseudomonadati; Pseudomonadota; Gammaproteobacteria; Pseudomonadales; Pseudomonadaceae.